GCCGGAGUGGUGGAACCUGCUAGACACGAUGGAUUCAAAAUCCAUUGAGGGAAACCUCGUGAGGGUUGGAGUCCCUCCUCCGGCACUA
This 88-nucleotide transfer RNA is filed under the name Candidatus Nealsonbacteria bacterium CG_4_9_14_3_um_filter_37_13. RNAcentral's name for it is "tRNA-Leu". It matches the Rfam family "tRNA". From Rfam's summary of the family: Transfer RNA (tRNA) molecules are approximately 80 nucleotides in length. Their secondary structure includes four short double-helical elements and three loops (D, anti-codon, and T loops). RNAcentral also lists the same sequence under 1 other name. Lineage: Bacteria; Candidatus Nealsoniibacteriota. The record is from RNAcentral.